Schistosoma mansoni is the source of this 36-nucleotide non-coding RNA. NCBI's taxonomy places the organism in Eukaryota, Metazoa, Platyhelminthes, Trematoda, Strigeidida, Schistosomatidae. The record is from Rfam.
AUUAGUCCCAAAUAGGACGAAACGCGCGUCCUGGAU